Molecule: ribosomal RNA, 248 nt
Filed under: uncultured bacterium
Lineage: Bacteria
Description: partial small subunit ribosomal RNA
Rfam family: Bacterial small subunit ribosomal RNA
Source: RNAcentral
AGGACGAACGCUGGCGGCGUGCUUAACACAUGCAAGUCGAGCGGACAUCUUCGGGUGUUAGCGGCGAACGGGUGAGUAACACGUGGGCAACCUGCCCCUAGCUCUGGGAUAACUCCGGGAAACCGGGGCUAAUACUGGAUAUGACCGAUCCAUGCAUGUGGGUUGGUGGAAAGUUUUUCGGCUAGGGAUGGGCCCGCGGCCUAUCAGCUUGUUGGUGGGGUGAUGGCCUACCAAGGCGACGACGGGUA